CAGCCGCCGCGGUAAUACGUAGGGUGCGAGCGUUAAUCGGAUUUACUGGGCGUAAAGCGUGCGCAGGCGGCCCGUUAAGACAGGUGUGAAAUCCCUGGGCUCAACCUAGGAAUUGCGCUUGUGACUGGCGGGCUCGAGUACGGUAGAGGGGGGUGGAAUUCCUGGUGUAGCAGUGAAAUGCGUAGAGAUCAGGAGGAACACCGAUGGCGAAGGCAGCCCCCUGGGCCUGUACUGACGCUCAUGCACGAAAGCGUGGGGAGCAAACAGGAUUAGAUACCCUGGUAGUCCACGCCCUAAACGAUGGGUACUAGCCGUUUGGUGCGCGAUAGCGCUGAGUGGCGAAGCUAACGCGAGAAGUCCCCCGCCUGGGGAGUACGGCCGCAAGGUUGAAACUUAAAGGAAUUGGCGGG
Molecule: ribosomal RNA, 410 nt
Filed under: uncultured microorganism
Description: bacterial SSU rRNA
Rfam family: Bacterial small subunit ribosomal RNA
Source: RNAcentral